UGGUGGAAUUUAUUUGUAUUUUAUCACUACUGUUAAACUGGCUGCUGCUGUCACACACUGAGUGAAAUCCAUCUACAUAUGAGCUGCUUUGGUGGAAA
Melanotaenia boesemani (Boeseman's rainbowfish) is the source of this 98-nucleotide long non-coding RNA. RefSeq lists it as uncharacterized. The record is from RefSeq and is a predicted model, not a curated record. NCBI's taxonomy places the organism in Eukaryota, Metazoa, Chordata, Actinopteri, Atheriniformes, Melanotaeniidae. The transcript is spliced from 3 exons.